UCUAACGGCAACAGACCACGGCUAAGCUUCUCUUUUUUUUUUACCUGUCGCACUGUGUUUUUAAGCCAGCACAGCCUUUUUACCACAUUCACUCGUUCAGCAAAUAAAUAGGCGACAAAAGGAA
Acanthochromis polyacanthus (spiny chromis) is the source of this 124-nucleotide long non-coding RNA. RefSeq lists it as uncharacterized. The record is from RefSeq and is a predicted model, not a curated record. The transcript is spliced from 2 exons. NCBI's taxonomy places the organism in Eukaryota, Metazoa, Chordata, Actinopteri, Pomacentridae.